AAUGCAGAAAUUCAGUGCCAUGCAGUCACCCGGAUAAAGCAGCACUUACCUUAAUUGAAAUUUUCUCUGUGAACGAGCCUAAUGGAUGAACUACAACUAUGAUUAUGAUUUGCAAGGAGAUUAGCUGCCGUGCUAGCCAUCGCAGGACUUAAACAAAUGUGCUUUCUCCUGCUGUUUUUCAAGGUGCCUUCGUGUAAGAUAUUAGGUACAGUGAAGCAAUUAAUAGACUGAUAGAGCUGAUUUGUAAGACAAGCUUAAAGCUGAAAAAUGUUUAAAGCGAUGUGAUCAAAGAGAUAGCUGCACUUGUCUCUGCCGCUCGCCUGCUACAUACUUCAACCUUUGUCGAACUAAAAUGAAUUUAAAGGUUUA
RNAcentral lists this long non-coding RNA (369 nucleotides) under Homo sapiens (human). Its description in RNAcentral is "HSALNT0325643". Lineage: Eukaryota; Metazoa; Chordata; Mammalia; Primates; Hominidae. The record is from RNAcentral.